Molecule: ribosomal RNA, 598 nt
Filed under: uncultured Prevotella sp.
Lineage: Bacteria; Pseudomonadati; Bacteroidota; Bacteroidia; Bacteroidales; Prevotellaceae
Description: bacterial SSU rRNA
Rfam family: Bacterial small subunit ribosomal RNA
Source: RNAcentral
GAUGAACGCUAGCUAUAGGCUUAACACAUGCAAGUCGAGGGGAAACGGCAAAGAGUGCUUGCACCCUUUGGACGUCGACCGGCGCACGGGUGAGUAACGCGUAUCCAACCUGCCCUUUACUUGGGGAUAACCCGUUGAAAGACGGACUAAUACCCAAUGAUAUUCAUUGAUGACAUCUGAUUUGAAUUAAAGAUUUAUCGGUAUAGGAUGGGGAUGCGUCUGAUUAGCUUGUUGGUGAGGUAACGGCUCACCAAGGCAACGAUCAGUAGGGGUUCUGAGAGGAAGGUCCCCCACAUUGGAACUGAGACACGGUCCAAACUCCUACGGGAGGCAGCAGUGAGGAAUAUUGGUCAAUGGACGAGAGUCUGAACCAGCCAAGUAGCGUGCAGGAUGACGGCCCUAUGGGUUGUAAACUGCUUUUGUUUGGGAAUAAUCGACAUUACGUGUAAUGUUUUGCAUGUACCAUUCGAAUAAGGACCGGCUAAUUCCGUGCCAGCAGCCGCGGUAAUACGGAAGGUCCAGGCGUUAUCCGGAUUUAUUGGGUUUAAACGGAGUGUAGGCGGUCGGCUUUGCUUGCUCCUCAAGUAUUGCGGAACCC